AUGAACGCUGGCGGCGUGCUUAACACAUGCAAGUCGAACGAUGACCCGGAGCUUGCUCUGGUGAUUAGUGGCGAACGGGUGAGUAACACGUGAGUAACCUGCCCUUGACUCUGGGAUAAGCACUGGAAACGGUGUCUAAUACCGGAUACGACCUUCAGCCGCAUGGCUAGGGGGUGGAAAGAAUUUCGGUCAAGGAUGGACUCGCGGCCUAUCAGCUAGUUGGUGAGGUAAUGGCUCACCAAGGCGACGACGGGUAGCCG
This 260-nucleotide ribosomal RNA is filed under the name Frigoribacterium sp. ISO563_OTU15731. RNAcentral describes it as "partial 16S ribosomal RNA". It matches the Rfam family "Bacterial small subunit ribosomal RNA", at positions 29 to 289 of the family's 1533-position model. The record is from RNAcentral. Lineage: Bacteria; Bacillati; Actinomycetota; Actinomycetes; Micrococcales; Microbacteriaceae.